Non-coding RNA from Aegilops tauschii subsp. strangulata, 568 nucleotides. The record is from RefSeq and is a predicted model, not a curated record. Lineage: Eukaryota; Viridiplantae; Streptophyta; Magnoliopsida; Poales; Poaceae.
GAUUUGCCUCAUUGAAGAUACAGAUAAAUGAUUUUCUGACCUCAUAUGGAUUCUCACUUCCAUUCCUCAUGUCUCCUAUGUCUUGUGUCUCUUACACAGGCAGAACGACCUGGGCCGUAGAUUAUACGGUGAACGAGGGCGGCGGCAGCACUAGAGCGCGACAAGGCUGGUUGAGAACUCUACAUCUCGCUGGAGUGAACUUGUUUCCCAGACGUCUCAUGCCGAAGUCUGAGGCACUGGCGUACUUAGCCAUGCCGUUAAGAAGCCAAAUCCAUAGGUUGUGAGCGAGGUGUUCAUCCGCACUGUUGCCUGACUGUGAAGCUCUGCCACCAUGCGAAACCCUCUCAAGCCACUCAAUGUAUUCUUCUUUCUUCUGAUUGCAUGUUUUGUAUAUGUGGAUGCUUGUUUUUUUAUGUGCGUGCGUGCGUGUGCGUGUGUGGUAGGUUUCAAGACUAUUAGAGUCCAUGUCGUUUUGGUACUUGUAUGUUCAAUGUAUAUAUACACAUAAAUCGUGUUUCUCUUGCUAGACCGUGAGAUUCUGGGAAUAAACAUAACAAUAUCAUCGUCA